AGGGGUGCGGAUAUACCCCCAGCGGGAGCGGGACUCGCGCAGACCUCUAGUGCAGAGCGCUGAGUGCAGUCUGUCAGAGCGCGUCCAGAUUACUUUCGGUUUCGUUUUCUCUGCCGCUGUUUCAAAGAGUGGUGAAUGAGCGUGCCUGAACACUAAACCACAUGUGCCACCUCUGUUCAUUUAAGAACCGUAUAAUGCUGGAUGAUAUAAAGUGACACAUCUUGAAGAUAUAAACCACUGAACAAGCAUCUGUCUCCUGUCACACUUCUUGCUGGAGCUCCGUAGUGGACUAGCAUUCCACCUACUAUAGAGAACAGAUUCCUUUUACAGAUAAGCAGUCUGGAGCAAGUUUCAUCAGGGUUUUUUCUAAGCUUGGUUCAUUACAGUGCUGUUGAUUACUCUAAAGAACAAAAUAUUCCUUUACCCAGAACAAC
Long non-coding RNA from Cyprinus carpio (common carp), 434 nucleotides. RefSeq lists it as uncharacterized. Lineage: Eukaryota; Metazoa; Chordata; Actinopteri; Cypriniformes; Cyprinidae. The record is from RefSeq and is a predicted model, not a curated record. The transcript has 3 exons.